Molecule: ribosomal RNA, 446 nt
Filed under: uncultured bacterium
Lineage: Bacteria
Description: bacterial SSU rRNA
Rfam family: Bacterial small subunit ribosomal RNA
Source: RNAcentral
AACGAACGCUGGCGGCAUGCCUAACACAUGCAAGUCGAACGAGACCUUCGGGUCUAGUGGCGCACGGGUGCGUAACGCGUGGGAAUCUGCCCUUGGGUUCGGAAUAACAGUUAGAAAUGACUGCUAAUACCGGAUAAUGUCUUCGGACCAAAGAUUUAUCGCCCAGGGAUGAGCCCGCGUAGGAUUAGCUAGUUGGUGAGGUAAAGGCUCACCAAGGCGACGAUCCUUAGCUGGUCUGAGAGGAUGAUCAGCCACACUGGGACUGAGACACGGCCCAGACUCCUACGGGAGGCAGCAGUGGGGAAUAUUGGACAAUGGGCGAAAGCCUGAUCCAGCAAUGCCGCGUGAGUGAUGAAGGCCUUAGGGUUGUAAAGCUCUUUUACCCGGGAUGAUAAUGACAGUACCGGGAGAAUAAGCCCCGGCCGUAACUCCGUGCCAGCAGCCGC